Molecule: long non-coding RNA, 2099 nt
Organism: Solanum pennellii
Lineage: Eukaryota; Viridiplantae; Streptophyta; Magnoliopsida; Solanales; Solanaceae
Exons: 2
Source: RefSeq, a predicted model, not a curated record
GAUUCUUUCUCACUGUUUAUGUACCUUCAUCUUUUGUCUGCGCUGUGCUUUUGGUUCUUCGUUUCAUCUCACUCGAAUUUAUUUCCUUUUUUUGUGCAUCUUCGGUAUGCUUUCGUUACUGAAUUUGGAUUUUGGGUUUUUUUUUUUUUUGCAGGGCGAUGUCCGAUCAGAACCCCAAAUCAAUUUUGCUGCAGCCGACCUAUCUACUUGAUAUUGUCAGUUUUUCUUGAAUUUCUUGCAUGCAUUCGCAGUUAAGUGAAGAAAAUCAACAACUUGUUGUCUUUUUAAAGCUACAUUCGUAUUAUAUUUAAAGAAAAUCAAAAGAAACCGUAGUUUUCAAGAAUAUAUUGGCAUUACGAAUAUCAAAAUUUCAAGAAAUCUUUCUUUUUCCAACAAAUUAUGUUGUUAUUCUCACAGUGUAUGGAUAUUGAAGAAUUUGUUACAUUAGCAAAUGCCUAAGGCUAUUUGGAGUUCAAUUCGGUCAGCGUAUGAUUUUCACAAGGGUGGGUUACCACCUAGGAAUUGAAUGGAAAGUUGAAUGAAGACAUUCGAUUGGACAGACUUUUGUAUACAGCCCCUUCAGUUCUUUUACAUAGUUGAGAUUUUUGAACUUGAUUCUUAAAAGUUGAAAAUUGUGUCAAGUAAGAUAAUGGGGAAUUCUGAAAAGAUGAAUGAUUUUUGACAUUGAUCUAAUGCAUUUAAUGUUGCUCAAUUUAUUAUAUUACUUCAUUAUCUCAAGUUAUACUUUCUUUUGAAGGAUUGUCGGAAGUUGUACUUUACUUUUGAAGGAUGUGGUGUUAAUCAACUAUUCCUUCCUUUACGCUAGCAACAACAAAAUACUGCCAUUCAGAUGUUAUGUGUGCUUUCCCAGCAAGCUUUGUCUUUAAAGGAGAGUCCGUGAGCUAGUUCUAAUUCGGACCUUUCUUUUGUUGGAAAUUGUUAGUAAUACAACUCAUGGGAGUUAGUUUGGGUAGUAUCCAUUAGGUUAUCGAAAGGUUUUGAAGGUAAAGUUCUUUUGAGAUUUAGCUUGGGUAGUAUCCAUUAGGAUAGGUAUAACACUACUAACCUGGUCGUUGUUUUUGACAUUGUUUACAGGAUGACAUGUUUUGUACCUUGAAAUUGCUAAAUCAAAUAUAUUAGUUAUGUUUCUCUCUUCAGGCCAAGUGUGAAAAUGAAACUUGUUGACAUCUGAAAUAGGAAAUACUAGGCUCAAGGGGAGCACACAAGUACACACGAUGGGGAGUCAACAAAACGUUCUGAUUAACGUAAUUGGAAGUUCCUACAAUUGAUCAGACUAAAAAGAUAAACUUCAUUCUGUCAAGUUGAAGUAAUCACAAAAUUGUAUGUAUAAAGAUAAAAUGGACAAACAAGGUGAUUUUUGAUGAUGUUGAAAGUUGAUAUAUAUGUGUCUGUUUGGCUUCGAUUCAAAAGUUUUUGGAAGUUUGCAAAGAUUAGAUGCUAUUUGCUAGAGUAUAUUAAAAAGUUAGCAGUUACUGUGCUUUGCAUUAGGAGCUUAAAAGGAUUUAGUUUCAUUCUAGAAAAAGAAACAUUGAUGGUCUUACCUUUCUUAGUUUUAUUGAUAAGUAUUACUGUUUCGUAGUGAUGAAUGUUGAGGUUCAAAAAAUAAUGUUAUUCCUUCUCUGUUUAUCCUGUAUUUGAAUCACUAUUUCAUUCAAGAUCAUUAUGUUCUUCUUUGUUGAAAUGAAUAUACCUUUCCUCAUUGAAUUUAUUUAUCAUCCUAUUGUUUAAGUUGGUCGACACAGCAUGUUCUCUCCGGGUUGAAUAUAAUAUGGAUGAUUUGUACAUCUAUGGAGAAAUCCUCAGCAUUCUCCAACAUUGAAUGGAAGGAGCGAAAACCACACUGGACCAGGAUCUUUUAUGUAGGGAUAUUCUUAGGUGGUCAGGCAAUUAAGUUGAGUUACAUAUAAACUCUACACAUGGGUUAAUUCCUGAGACUGGUCAUUUUCUUUUCCUUUUACAGUAUCCAAUCUCAAUGAAUAUCAAUUGAGUUCUUAAUUUAAGAUCAGAAAUUGUAUAAAGCAAUCAAAAUUGUGGAAGUUUCAGACUCAUUUUUUUGAAGGAUAAUUUUUUCAUUCUUA